UACGAACCGUGCGAACGUUGUUCGGAAUCACUGGGCUUAAAGGGCGCGUAGGCGGGCUAGCAAGUCAGGGGUGAAAUCCCACGGCUCAACCGUGGAAGUGCCUUUGAUACUGCGAGUCUUGAGGGAGGUAGGGGCGUGCGGAACUUCCGGUGGAGCGGUGAAAUGCGUAGAUAUCUGGAGGAACACCGGUGGCGAAGGCGGCAUUCUGGACCGAAACUGACGCUGAUGCGCGAAAGCCAGGGGAGCAAACGGG
Molecule: ribosomal RNA, 253 nt
Filed under: uncultured bacterium
Lineage: Bacteria
Description: partial 16S ribosomal RNA
Rfam family: Bacterial small subunit ribosomal RNA
Source: RNAcentral